Molecule: ribosomal RNA, 117 nt
Filed under: bacterium
Lineage: Bacteria
Also listed under: 2 other names
Source: RNAcentral
UUCGGUGGUGCUAGCGAGAGGGCCACACCCGUUCCCUUUCCGAACACGGAAGUUAAGCCUCUCAGCGCCGAUGGUACUUGGAUCGAGAGACCCUGGGAGAGUAGGUCGCCGCCGGAU